CAGUCGCCGCGGGAAUACAGAGGGUGCGAGCGUUAAUCGGAUUUACUGGGCGUAAAGCGUGCGUAGGCGGCUUUUUAAGUCGGAUGUGAAAUCCCUGAGCUUAACUUAGGAAUUGCAUUCGAUACUGGGAAGCUAGAGUAUGGGAGAGGAUGGUAGAAUUCCUGGUGUAGCGGUGAAAUGCGUAGAGAUCUGGAGGAAUACCGAUGGCGAAGGCAGCCAUCUGGCCUAAUACUGACGCUGAGGUACGAAAGCAUGGGGAGCAAACAGGAUUAGAUACCCCCGUAGUCCCUGUCUCUUAUAC
RNAcentral lists this ribosomal RNA (301 nucleotides) under uncultured bacterium. Its description in RNAcentral is "partial 16S ribosomal RNA". It matches the Rfam family "Bacterial small subunit ribosomal RNA", at positions 509 to 807 of the family's 1533-position model. The record is from RNAcentral.